This 791-nucleotide ribosomal RNA is filed under the name uncultured Alphaproteobacteria bacterium. RNAcentral's name for it is "bacterial SSU rRNA". It matches the Rfam family "Bacterial small subunit ribosomal RNA", at positions 35 to 874 of the family's 1533-position model. Lineage: Bacteria; Pseudomonadati; Pseudomonadota; Alphaproteobacteria. The record is from RNAcentral.
GCUGGCGGCAUGCCUCAUACAUGCAAGUCGAACGAGGUCUUCGGACCUAGUGGCGCACGGGUGAGUAACAUGUGGGAAUCUGCCUGAAGGUUCGGAAUAACUGCGGGAAACUGUAGCUAAUACCGGAUGUGUCUGCAAAGAGAAAGAUUUAUCGCCUUCAGAUGAGCCCGCACUAGAUUAGCUAGUUGGUGAGGUAAUUGCUCCACCAAGGCUACGAUCUAUAGCUGAUUUGAGAGGAUGAUCAGCCACACUGGGACUGAGACACGGCCCAGACUCCUACGGGAGGCAGCAGUAGGGAAUAUUGGACAAUGGGGGAAACCCUGAUCCAGCAAUGCCGCGUGAGUGAAGAAGGCCUUCGGGUUGUAAAACUCUUUCAUCAAUGAUGAUAAUGACAUUAGUUGAAGAAGAAGCUCCGGCUAACUUCGUGCCAGCAGCCGCGGUAAUACGAAGGGGGCUAGCGUUGUUCGGAAUCACUGGGCGUAAAGCGUAUGUAGGCGGAUCAAAAAGUUAGAUGUGAAAUCCCUGGGCUCAACCCAGGAACUGCAUUUAAAACUAGUGAUCUAGAAUUUGGUAGGGGUUAGUAGAAUUUCCAGUGUAGAGGUGAAAUUCGUAGAUAUUGGAAAGAAUACCAGUGGCGAAGGCGACUAACUGGGCCAUUUUUGACGCUGAGAUACGAAAGCGUGGGUAGCAAACAGGAUUAGAUACCCUGGUAGUCCACGCAGUAAACGAUGAGUGCUAGUCGCUGGGACAAUAGUUUCAGUGUCGAAGCUAACGCAUUAAGCACUCCGCCU